This 457-nucleotide ribosomal RNA is filed under the name uncultured Geobacillus sp. RNAcentral's name for it is "bacterial SSU rRNA". It matches the Rfam family "Bacterial small subunit ribosomal RNA", at positions 921 to 1382 of the family's 1533-position model. Lineage: Bacteria; Bacillati; Bacillota; Bacilli; Caryophanales; Anoxybacillaceae. The record is from RNAcentral.
CCGCACAAGCGGUGGAGCAGUGUGGUUAAUUCGAAGCAACGCGAAGAACCUUACCAGGUCUUGACAUCCCUGACAACCAAGAGAUUGGGCGUUCCCCUCGGGGGACAGGGUGACAGGUGGUGCAUGGUUGUCGUCAGCUCGUGUCGUGAGAUGUUGGGUUAAGUCCCGCAACGAGCGCAACCCUCGCCUCUAGUCGCCAGCAUUCGGUUGGGCACUCUAGAGGGACUGCCGGCGACAAGUCGGAGGAAGUGGGAUGACGUCAAAUCAUCAUGCCCCUUAUGACCUGGGCUACACACGUGCUACAAUGGGCGGUACAAAGGGCUGCGAACCCGCGAGGGGGAGCGAAUCCCAAAAAGCCGCUCUCAGUUCGGAUUGCAGGCUGCAACUCGCCUGCAUGAAGCCGGAAUCGCUAGUAAUCGCGGAUCAGCAUGCCGCGGUGAAUACGUUCCCGGGCCUU